GAUGAACGCUGGCGGCGUGCCUAAUACAUGCAAGUCGAGCGAACGGACGAGAAGCUUGCUUCUCUGAUGUUAGCGGCGGACGGGUGAGUAACACGUGGAUAACCUACCUAUAAGACUGGGAUAACUUCGGGAAACCGGAGCUAAUACCGGAUAAUAUUUUGAACCGCAUGGUUCAAAAGUGAAAGACGGUCUUGCUGUCACUUAUAGAUUGAUCCGCGCUGCAUUAGCUAGUUGGUAAGGUAACGGCUUACCAAGGCAACGAUGCAUAGCCGACCUGAGAGGGUGAUCGGCCACACUGGAACUGAGACACGGUCCAGACUCCUACGGGAGGCAGCAGUAGGGAAUCUUCCGCAAUGGGCGAAAGCCUGACGGAGCAACGCCGCGUGAGUGAUGAAGGUCUUCGGAUCGUAAAACUCUGUUAUUAGGGAAGAACAUAUGUGUAAGUAACUGUGCACAUCUUGACGGUACCUAAUCAGAAAGCCACGGCUAGCUACGUG
RNAcentral lists this ribosomal RNA (497 nucleotides) under uncultured bacterium. RNAcentral describes it as "partial 16S ribosomal RNA". It matches the Rfam family "Bacterial small subunit ribosomal RNA", at positions 28 to 507 of the family's 1533-position model. The record is from RNAcentral.